CUAAUACCGGAUAAGAAAGCGGAUCGCAUGAUCAGCUUUUAAAAGGCGGCGUAAGCUGUCGCUAUGGGAUGGCCCCGCGGUGCAUUAGCUAGUUGGUAAGGUAAAGGCUUACCAAGGCGAUGAUGCAUAGCCGAGUUGAGAGACUGAUCGGCCACAUUGGGACUGAGACACGGCCAAACUCCUACGGGAGGCAGCAGGCG
RNAcentral lists this ribosomal RNA (200 nucleotides) under uncultured Lactobacillus sp. RNAcentral describes it as "partial 16S ribosomal RNA". It matches the Rfam family "Bacterial small subunit ribosomal RNA", at positions 163 to 354 of the family's 1533-position model. Lineage: Bacteria; Bacillati; Bacillota; Bacilli; Lactobacillales; Lactobacillaceae. The record is from RNAcentral.